RNAcentral lists this ribosomal RNA (496 nucleotides) under uncultured bacterium. RNAcentral's name for it is "partial 16S ribosomal RNA". It matches the Rfam family "Bacterial small subunit ribosomal RNA", at positions 28 to 506 of the family's 1533-position model. The record is from RNAcentral.
GAUGAACGCUGGCGGCGUGCCUAAUACAUGCAAGUCGAGCGAACAGACGAGGAGCUUGCUCCUCUGACGUUAGCGGCGGACGGGUGAGUAACACGUGGAUAACCUACCUAUAAGACUGGGAUAACUUCGGGAAACCGGAGCUAAUACCGGAUAAUAUAUUGAACCGCAUGGUUCAAUAGUGAAAGACGGUUUUGCUGUCACUUAUAGAUGGAUCCGCGCCGCAUUAGCUAGUUGGUAAGGUAACGGCUUACCAAGGCAACGAUGCGUAGCCGACCUGAGAGGGGGACCGGCCCAACUGGAACGGGGACACGGUCCAGCCUCCUACGGGGGGCAGCAGUGGGGAAUCUUCCGCAAGGGGCGAAAGCCUGACGGAGCAACGCCGGGGGGGUGAUGAAGGUCUUCGGAUCGUAAAACUCUUUUAUUGGGGAAAAAAAAAUGUGUAAGUAACUAUGCACGUUUUGACGGUACCUAAUCAGAAAGCCACGGCUAACUACGU